Molecule: long non-coding RNA, 273 nt
Filed under: Gossypium barbadense (sea-island cotton)
Lineage: Eukaryota; Viridiplantae; Streptophyta; Magnoliopsida; Malvales; Malvaceae
Description: long non-coding RNA (GBAR_LNC014147)
Source: RNAcentral
CAAACAGUCACAAUCCAUCAUUAAAUCAUCUAUCUAACACAAUGAUAAAAUUUUUAAACCAAACAAUUAAAAAGUCCAUAAUGUCCAAUUACAACCUAAUAAUUAUAAGUAAGUCUACCUUCCUCAUUAGGUUUGGGAACACAAACAACAUACCUAGGUAUAGACUCAAUUGGGAUCACUUGGAUGGCUCACUUUCCCAUCUUUUUACAAGCUAAAUCACUGAAAUGUUUUAAAAGGGAGCGUGAGCUUGUUGAAGCUCAGUGGUGCUCAAAC